RNAcentral lists this ribosomal RNA (268 nucleotides) under uncultured prokaryote. RNAcentral describes it as "partial 16S ribosomal RNA". It matches the Rfam family "Bacterial small subunit ribosomal RNA", at positions 524 to 791 of the family's 1533-position model. The record is from RNAcentral.
UACGGAGGAUCCGAGCGUUAUCCGGAUUUAUUGGGUUUAAAGGGUGCGCAGGCGGGAGAUUAAGUCGGCGGUGAAAUUUUGCAGCUCAACUGUAAAAGUGCCUUCGAAACUGGUUUCCUUGAGUGUGGAUGAAGUAGGCGGAAUUUGUGGUGUAGCGGUGAAAUGCAUAGAUAUCACGAGGAACUCCGAUUGCGCAGGCAGCUUACUAAACCAUAACUGACGCUCAGGCACGAAGGCGUGGGGAUCAAACAGGAUUAGAUACCCGCGU